RNAcentral lists this ribosomal RNA (440 nucleotides) under uncultured bacterium. RNAcentral describes it as "partial 16S ribosomal RNA". It matches the Rfam family "Bacterial small subunit ribosomal RNA", at positions 338 to 795 of the family's 1533-position model. The record is from RNAcentral.
CCUACGGGUGGCAGCAGUGGGGGAUAUUGCACAAUGGGGGAAACCCUGAUGCAGCGACGCCGCGUGGGUGAAGAAGUAUUUCGGCACGUAAAGCUCUGUCAGCAGGGAAGAAAAUGACAGUACCUGACCAAGAAGCCCCGGCUAACUACGUGCCAGCAGCCGCGGUAAUACGUAGGGGGCAAGCGUUAUCCGGAUUUACUGGGUGUAAAGGGGGCGUAGACGGUGAUGUAAGCCUGGAGUGAAAGCCCGGGGCCCAACCCCGGGACUGCUUUUGAAACUGUGUGACUGGAGUGCAGGAGGGGCAGGCGGAAUUCCUGGUGUAGCGGUGAAAUGCGUAGAUAUCAGGAGGAACACCGGCGGCGAAGGCGGCCUGCUGGACUGAAACUGACGUUGAGGCUCGAAAGCGUGGGGAGCAAACAGGAUUAGAUACCCUAGUAGUC